CACAUCUAACAUGGAGUCAAAUUUGUUCUUUUCUAUUACAAUUUCUUUUUCCACCUCAUAGAUAAUUUUAGUAAGAAACAUGAGCAAUUUUUUUACUUUUGCUUCUUAAUAACGGAUAAGUGGCCCAACUACAGUUUUGUGAACAGGGAUGCUGUGCGGGCAUAGGGGUCACAGCAAAUUCUUGUUGGGGGUGGUCGACCCUGCAACAUGUCUGAUGCCCUGUGAGUGUUGGUGAGAGUCCCCCUAACCAGGGGCUCUCUUCAGGAACCACCAUGUGGGCAUUGACCUCUGGAGACUUCUUUUUCAGCUGUAGGAAAUUUUUUUUAGAUGCUGUGAUGAAAAAAUCACUCCAGCUGGGGAUAAUCAGGGAAUAAAGGAAGGGGAAAAGGGCUUGGAGUAGUGUAGAAGAGAAGGACAGAAGAUCAGGGAGCCUGGGGGCUUGGGGGCAGGGCCUUGGGAGAGAGAGUAGCAGAGGUGGGGAGGGGCCCGGCUCCAGAACCAGCUCCUGCACCUUUCCCUGCACCCAAGCCUCACAGCUUUUAAUUGGGCCCAAGACUCUUUCCUGUCUGGAUGUCACCCUGGGCAGAACGUUGAGAAUCGAAGGUAAGGUGUGGGCAGCACUCACCUAGGGGGUCACUGAGGACUUGGUCAAGUCCACAGUGCCUUUUCUAGUCAUGUGUCUUCACCUGUUCUUUAUCUCAGGAUCUGAGAAGCAGGAGCAAGGAACUCAGGGAGAGAUCCAGGAAGACAUCUGACUCUGUUAAGAGACGACAGUCACAGCGACACGGGGAGCGAGGACACUUGCAGCAAAGUAAAAUGACUUCACAACUAUUGCAUCAGAGCUGCAGGUGUGAGAGAGCCUAAGCCUGUCUCAGAGUGCAGGGGACAAGAGGAAAGGAAUGGCUCCUCAGCUCAGAUGUAAGAAAAGACUCUUUAAACUUCUUGAUGCAGCUCCUUAAUGAAGAUCUUGUGAAGGAAACCUACUCAAAACCUGGGAGCCUAUCCUUCCAAAUGUCCAGGAGACUCUUCCUCAGUCUUGAGUUUCCCGCUGAUGUUACCACUGUCUUUGUUUCUGGAGAGGAAAACAAGUCUAAACUUACUUUCCAGUUGGAAAUGGAAUGGAGAGUUAACGUUGGAAGCCGGGAGAGUCUGUCCUGUGAUGAAGCGGUCUCUGAGCCACUUCCAUGGGGACGUCACGUCACUGUCUGGGCCCCUUGCACAGCCUGUGCACAGCAUUCCUAGGAGAGAAUUCAGCAGUGCAGCAUCCUCUCCGAGCUCUAUGAGUUGAUCGGCUUCCACCACAAGUCCGCCUUCUUCAAGAGGGUGGCCCCCGUGCAGCGCGUGGCCCCCGGCAUUACGGAGCCUGGCGCGAAGGCCUGCUACCGACUCCUUCUGCAGACGCUUCCUGGCUACAGUCUGUCGCUGGAUCUGCAGGACUUCAGCAAAGGUGUUGGAACUAAAACAUUGCUUCAGUCCCAUUAACCAUGCCUGGUUUGGGCCCUGCUGUCCUGUCUCAUCAGGGUGAAUUCUGAUUCGUUUAGAAUAGGGCUCAGCAGACUUUUUCUGUCAAGGGCUUGGGAGUAAGUAUUUCAGGGUCUGCAAACCUCCUGAUCUCUGGUGCAGCUGCUCAGCUCUGCUGUUCAGACGCCAGAGCAGCCGGACAUUCCACACACCCACAGAGCUUUAUUAACAGCGGUGUCUGGGGCUGGAUUCAGUGUAUGAACUGCAGUUUGUCCCCACAGCCUCCUCAUUAUUGACGCCUUCAACAGAGCAUGCAUUUGCGACACUGGGUGAACCUGCACUGACACGUCAUCAUCACCCAGAGCCCAGACUUGACACUAGGAUUUACACUUGGUGGUGUGCACUCUGUGGGUUUGGACAGAUGUGCAAUGACAUGUAUCCACCGUCACAGCAUCAUACAGAGUAGUCUGUCUUAGUGACCUUAAAAUGCUCCGUGCUGCACCUCAUUCAUUGCUCCUUCCCCUCUAGCCUCUGACAGCCACUGAUCUUUUAGUUUCUGUGGUUUUCCCUUUCCCAGAACACCAUACAGUUGGAAUCAGACAGUUGCGGAACCUUCCCAGAUUGGCUUCUUUCACUUAGUAAUAUGCAUUUAAGGUUCCUCCAUGUCUUUCCAUGCCUUGAUAACUCAUUUCAUUUUAGCACCAAAUAAUAGUCCAUUUUCUGGCUGGACCACAGUUAAUCCAUUCACCUACUGAAGAACAGCUUAGUUGCUUCUGAGUUCUGGUGAUUAUGAAUAAAGCUGCUAUUAACAUCUGUA
Long non-coding RNA from Camelus dromedarius (Arabian camel), 2278 nucleotides. RefSeq lists it as uncharacterized. Lineage: Eukaryota; Metazoa; Chordata; Mammalia; Artiodactyla; Camelidae. The record is from RefSeq and is a predicted model, not a curated record. The transcript has 4 exons.